Molecule: transfer RNA, 90 nt
Filed under: Saccharothrix algeriensis
Lineage: Bacteria; Bacillati; Actinomycetota; Actinomycetes; Pseudonocardiales; Pseudonocardiaceae
Also listed under: 1 other name
Description: tRNA-Ala
Source: RNAcentral
CCGCCGUGUGGGAGGCCGGCUCCCGGCCGGUGAGCAGCCGCCCGGUGGCGGCGUCGGAGACGUCGAGCCGGUUCCACUCCGUGCGGUGCA